GACGAACGCUGGCGGCGUGCCUAAUACAUGCAAGUCGAACGAACCGCGACUAGGUGCUUGCACUUGGUCAAGGUGAGUGGCGAACGGGUGAGUAACACGUGGGUAACCUACCUCAUAGUGGGGGAUAACAGUCGGAAACGACUGCUAAUACCGCAUAGGACAUAGGAUCCCAUGAUUCUGUGAGGAAAGGUGGCGCAAGCUAUCGCUAAGAGAUGGACCCGCGGUGCAUUAGCUAGUUGGUAGGGUAAAGGCCUACCAAGGCGAUGAUGCAUAGCCGACCUGAGAGGGUGAUCGGCCACAUUGGGACUGAGACACGGCCCAAACUCCUACGGGAGGCAGCAGUAGGGAAUCUUCCGCAAAGGACGCAAGUCUGACGGAGCAACGCCGCGUGAGUGAAGAAGGUCUUCGGAUCGUAAAGCUCUGUUGUUAGAGAAGAACAGCGCAUAGAGUAACUGUUAUGCGUGUGACGGUAUCUAACCAGAAAGCCACGGCUAACUACGUG
This 502-nucleotide ribosomal RNA is filed under the name uncultured bacterium. RNAcentral's name for it is "partial 16S ribosomal RNA". It matches the Rfam family "Bacterial small subunit ribosomal RNA", at positions 28 to 507 of the family's 1533-position model. The record is from RNAcentral.